RNAcentral lists this long non-coding RNA (1100 nucleotides) under Anthonomus grandis grandis. RNAcentral describes it as "uncharacterized LOC126747838". Lineage: Eukaryota; Metazoa; Arthropoda; Insecta; Coleoptera; Curculionidae. The record is from RNAcentral.
CUAUAACUGUACAGGGUGUCUCAAAAAUUGGAGCCAAAAUCUAUUAAACCCUAUAGGACUGAACCAAAACUAGGUUUCAAAAAUUGAAAAAUUAUUUUCUUAGACCCACUGUACAGGGUUGGACUUUUGGUAUGUUAUAGUCAAAGGUUGAAGCUAAUUAUUCUCUUACUAUACAUUUUUCCAUAAAUGUACAGGGUGUUUCGGAAAAUCCAGUCAAAAUUUAUUAAACCCUAUAGGACUGAACCAAAACUAGUUUUCAAAAAUUGAAAAAUUAUUUUCUUAGACCCACUGUACAGGGUUGGACUUUUGGUAUGUUAUAGCCAAAGGUUGAAGCUAAUUAUUCUCUUACUAUACAUUUUUCCAUAAAUGUACAGGGUGUCUCGGAAAAUCCAGUCAAAAUUUAUUAAACCCUAUAGGACUGAACCAAAACUAGUUUUCAAAAAUUGAAAAAUUAUUUUCUUAGACCCACUAUACAGGGUUGGACUUUUGGUAUGUUAUAGUCAAAGGUUGAAGCUAAUUAUUCUCUUACUACACAUUUUUCUAUAACUGUUCAGGGUGUCUCAAAAAUUGGAGCCAAAAUCUAUUAAACCCUAUAGGACUGAACCAAAACUAGUUUUCAAAAAUUGAAAAAUUAUUUUCUUAGACCCACUAUACAGGGUUGGACUUUUCAUAUGUUAUAGCCAAAGGUUGAAGCUAAUUAUUCUCUUACUACACAUUUUUCUAUAACUGUACAGGGUGUCUCGGAAAAUCCAGUCAAAAUCUAUUAAACCCUAGAGGACUGAACCAAAACUAGUUUUCAAAAAUUGAAAAAUUAUUUUCUUAGACCCACUAUACAGGGUUGGACUUUUGGUAUGUUAUAGUCAAAGGUUGAAGCUAAUUAUUCUCUUACUAUACAUUUUUCCAUAAAUGUACAGGGUGUCUCGGAAAAUCCAGUCAAAAUGUAUUAAACCCUAUAGGACUGAACCAAAACUAGUUUUCAAAAAUUGAAAAAUUAUUUACUUAGACCCACUGUACAGGGUUGGACUUUUGGUAUGUUAUAGUCAAAGGUUGAAGCUAAUUAUUCUCUUACUACACAUUUUUCCAUAAAUGUACAGGGUGUC